CUCCACCCGAGACUCAGUGAAAUUGAAAUCGCUGUGAAGAUGCAGUGUACCCGCGGCUAGACGGAAAGACCCCGUGAACCUUUACUACAGCUUGGCACUGAACAUUGACCCUACAUGUGUAGGAUAGGUGGGAGGCUUUGAAGCACGUACGCCAGUAUGUGUGGAGCCGUCCUUGAAAUACCACCCUUGUAGUGUUGAUGUUCUAACGUCGACCCCUAAUCGGGGUUGCGGACAGUGCCUGGUGGGUAGUUUGACUGGGGCGGUCUCCUCCCAAAGAGUAACGGAGGAGCACGAAGGUGGGCUAAUCACGGUUGGACAUCGUGAGGUUAGUGCAAUGGCAUAAGCCCGCUUGACUGCGAGAAUGACAAUUCGAGCAGGUGCGAAAGCAGGUCAUAGUGAUCCGGUGGUUCUGAAUGGAAGGGCCAUCGCUCAACGGAUAAAAGGUACUCCGGGGAUAACAGGCUGAUACCGCCCAAGAGUUCAUAUCGACGGCGGUGUUUGGCACCUCGAUGUCGGCUCAUCACAUCCUGGGGCUGAAGUCGGUCCCAAGGGUAUGGCUGUUCGCCAUUUAAAGUGGUACGCGAGCUGGGUUUAGAACGUCGUGAGACAGUUCGGUCCCUAUCUGCCGUGGGCGUUGGAAGAUUGAAGGGGGCUGCUCCUAGUACGAGAGGACCGGAGUGGACGAACCUCUGGUGUUCGGGUUGUGUCGCCAGACGCAUUGCCCGGUAGCUAAGUUCGGAAUCGAUAACCGCUGAAAGCAUCUAAGCGGGAAGCGAGCCCUGAGAUGAGUCUUCCCUGAUACUUUAAGUAUCCUAAAGGGUUGUCGGAGACUACGACGUUGAUAGGUCAGGUGUGUAAGUGCUGUGAGGCAUUGAGCUAACUGAUACUAAUUGCCCGUGAGGCUUAACCAU
RNAcentral lists this ribosomal RNA (911 nucleotides) under Vibrio parahaemolyticus. RNAcentral's name for it is "partial 23S ribosomal RNA". It matches the Rfam family "Bacterial large subunit ribosomal RNA", at positions 2020 to 2925 of the family's 2925-position model. Lineage: Bacteria; Pseudomonadati; Pseudomonadota; Gammaproteobacteria; Vibrionales; Vibrionaceae. The record is from RNAcentral.